GAGUGACUGAAGUAAAAGUCGGAACAAGGUCUCCGUUGGUGAACCAGCGGAGGGAUCAUUA
RNAcentral lists this ribosomal RNA (61 nucleotides) under Claviceps purpurea (ergot fungus). RNAcentral's name for it is "partial 18S ribosomal RNA". It matches the Rfam family "Eukaryotic small subunit ribosomal RNA", at positions 1771 to 1831 of the family's 1831-position model. Lineage: Eukaryota; Fungi; Ascomycota; Sordariomycetes; Hypocreales; Clavicipitaceae. The record is from RNAcentral.